Molecule: ribosomal RNA, 456 nt
Filed under: Klebsiella oxytoca
Lineage: Bacteria; Pseudomonadati; Pseudomonadota; Gammaproteobacteria; Enterobacterales; Enterobacteriaceae
Also listed under: 2 other names
Description: bacterial SSU rRNA
Rfam family: Bacterial small subunit ribosomal RNA
Source: RNAcentral
ACUUAAAUUGAAGAGUUUGAUCAUGGCUCAGAUUGAACGCUGGCGGCAGGCCUAACACAUGCAAGUCGAACGGUAGCACAGAGAGCUUGCUCUCGGGUGACGAGUGGCGGACGGGUGAGUAAUGUCUGGGAAACUGCCUGAUGGAGGGGGAUAACUACUGGAAACGGUAGCUAAUACCGCAUAACGUCGCAAGACCAAAGAGGGGGACCUUCGGGCCUCUUGCCAUCAGAUGUGCCCAGAUGGGAUUAGCUAGUAGGUGGGGUAACGGCUCACCUAGGCGACGAUCCCUAGCUGGUCUGAGAGGAUGACCAGCCACACUGGAACUGAGACACGGUCCAGACUCCUACGGGAGGCAGCAGUGGGGAAUAUUGCACAAUGGGCGCAAGCCUGAUGCAGCCAUGCCGCGUGUAUGAAGAAGGCCUUCGGGUUGUAAAGUACUUUCAGCGGGGAGGAAGG